This is a long non-coding RNA of Hippocampus zosterae (dwarf seahorse), 4771 nucleotides long. RefSeq lists it as uncharacterized. The record is from RefSeq and is a predicted model, not a curated record. The transcript has 2 exons. Lineage: Eukaryota; Metazoa; Chordata; Actinopteri; Syngnathiformes; Syngnathidae.
UCGUGCUCGAGGAAAAACGGUCAAGUGUUUGUGUCCUUUUAAUACGAAUUGCUAAAAUUAGCACGAUUGAGAAGUAUUUGCCCGAAUUCAUCGUUGUUACUAGCGUGGCUUUAAAAGUUCGCUUGUUGGUUGUAAAAGUGAUACGAGGCACAAUGGUGGUUGUGUUUGUAUUCUAGCUCAAGGUUAUUUUGAAAUCUACGCUUAGUAGCAUAUCUUGUGACCAGGCAUGCUCCUCUCGUCUCUAAAUCUUGACUGUGUGCUGUUUGUUCUGGUUGAUAAAACUGCAUCUGUUUGCUGAUACAACGACCAUGCUCCUUCCAUGUGGCAUCUCCGAAGACAACCUGUUGAUUGCAAGUGUCCCUGACGUCAUAAUGGAUUAGAGCAGGGACAGGGCAUCCUUUUGAAUACAGUACACUAUGAAUACAGUACACUACUCGAUUGUUAGUUUCAAAGUUAAAGUUAAGCACGAUAAGGAUAUAUCGGGUGGUUACGCGUAAUACUAUAUUAUGUAGCUUUUAUAUACUUUUUUGUGGACGGGUGAAGGUUUUCUUGUUGUGCUGGAUGAGAAAGUCAUUUGUUCUCCUAAUUCCUAAAAAAUAUUAAUUACAAAGUGUAACCACAAUCUAGGUUUUUAAUCUCAAAUGGGGAAAUGAAGGUGCCCUUUGACGUGUCAUUUGUUGUGACCCGAGGCAAUUCUUUGAUAAACUCUCUGAUCUUUUUAUCUUAUGAAACAUCGGGGCAUGCCCAACCAUUAUUCAGAACAGAAUAGAUUUUCUAUUCCAUUUUCUAGAUUUAUUGGGUGUGAACCUCUUAUAUUCAAAUUGGUUAGCAACAUAUCUUUUCACAAAUCUAUACUAUUGGUCAAUUCCCACAUGGGGAUUAUUCAUUGUCUAACGACUGAUUGAAUAAUCCACUUUUAUUUUGGAGGUCGACUCAUGUUGACGAUGGCUCUCUUUGAACAUGCGAUGUUAAUGCAACAUCCGGUGUCUACAGAGCAUACAUCACUAAUCAUUGCCUCCAUGGCAGUGAAAAAGCUACACUUGAGUAAGAAUCAUGACCACAAAGUAGGUGUGACUAUUAAGUAAGGAAAAAGACAGCAAAGCCUUGCUAAUUGCUAAACUAUCGAAAUGUGGUCGCAAAACACCAAAGUAAAUGCAUCUGUGAUACAGUACAUUUGUAGAACUGUGUAUUAGCGGAGGAUAAGAAACUGGCCACUGAGAACCUGACAGGAACAUCACCAGAGUGAUUUCUUUAUUUGACAAUAAAGUUGUAUCCAAUCCAAAAAAAUGGCGAACUGAAGCUUCAUAAAGCACUGAAACUUUCCAGCAACUUGGUUUGCGCAUGGUUCAUUGUUAUGGUACAUCUUUUGCUUUUAAGGUGUCACCAAGUGGUCAACAAGACACAGCAGUAAAAUAUUCAUUCAUUCAUUCAUCCUCACUAGGGUCGAGGGGGGUGCUGGAGCCUAUCCCAGCUGUCUCCGGGCAUUAGGCGGGGGACACCCUGAAUCGGUUAUGCAGAAUCCAAUAAAAAUGUGGGCAAAACGGUGACAACAUGUACAUAAAUAGCAAGAUUGUAGUUUUUGUAAGUACAAGUUUAUGAAUAUAAAUAAGUGUCAAGUCGAGUCAAGUACAACUUUAUUGUCAAAUAUGCCAACAUAGAGCACAGAUGAAAUUUCUUCCAUCUCAAGACAACAUGCAAAAAGAGGAGCAGCUACGAAUGACCGCUUCACCAUCAAAAGAACAGUUAAUAUAAAAUGUCAAAAUAAUUCAACACAACACAUAAGACACAUACAAUUGUGCACUCUUAAACACUUUCCUGCAUACACUUUGUUGUUUGAAGCAGUUAUAGAUGAAGGAGUAGCGAAUCGGUAUCCUUUUCACCAGUGGAUCAAAGACAUCAUGCUGACACGUCUGCUACAAGCUAGGCUGAAAGCAACAAGAAGCUGUAGCAUCCAUUAACAACAAAAGAGACUGGCUCUCUUCUCCUGUCCCAUGUAAAUCCGCUUCAAUUCCAUGCUGCGACUCCCAGUUCCACAUAUGCAUUGGCGCUCUGCGCAGAUGCUCCUUUAUUCUCAUCGUCGGCUCCUCAAGCCAUGCAUCCCAUCCAGCCACAGACUGUCCAUCAGCACCGACCUUUCAGCGGAAUAAUAAUAAACACAAGUGCUAAUCCAACACGACUACUUCGACACUCCGAGUAUUCUUUCGUUAUGCACAAAGUGGCUCUCUAACCACCAACUAAGUUGACGGCCGCAAUGAAUGCUGACAACACCCGCAAAGCGACGUAUGGUUUUGAGUGUUAUUGUGAAGCAAUGAUAAAUUGACUGAAACUUGUGACGAAUCGGCACAAAUCGAGGCCCUGUUUGUCAACAGUCACGUGAUUUUUCUUGGAAGCGAUGCAAGCUCAUUUGUUUCGCAUAUCCACUCUUGCUCGACGCACGCUCCAAAGUCUCAUCGCAUUUCAGAACAUCACAGGUCAUUGCAUACGUCAGCUAGGAGUAUAGUACAGAAUUGUAAUACACAUUUAAAAUAUAAGAACCUUUAUUGGAGAAAUAGAUGUUAUUUCAGCAGCUAAAGUGGAUACGUCCAAUACAGUCUCUCAGCAAUGUUAUUUGUGUGCUAAGUGUUCAUUUUGACGUUUAAGAUCUGAUUAAUCUAAUUGAACGCGCUUGCUGUCUUUUCCAAGGUUGAAAACGGAAUCAGUAAAGGCUAAUUAAUCCAUGGACAGAAAUUUGAAUGAAUUAUAGAAAACAAAAUGGCAAGCCUAUUGUAUUGUGUUUAAUUGAAACUGUCUGCUGCAUUAUUUUUUGUUUGCACUGCUAUGCACCAGGGAGUUGAACUUUUAACUCUAACUUUAGAUUUGCAUGAUAAAUGUUAUCCUAAUUAAUAUUUAUUCUCAUCAUUGUUAAUUAUUUAGCUUCUGUAAUGGGUUAUAUAAUUGAACUAUCCAUAAAUGAAUAAUGUAUUGAAUUAUUAUUAAUUAAAAGAACUUUUAACCAUAAUCCUGAUAUAUACAGUUUGCAUGAAGGAAUGCGAUUGAUAUCGUGACAUGAAUUUUGGGCCAUAUCGCCCAGACCUAAUUCUGCCCAAUCACAGCGAUAUUUUUACUGUGUCUUGCAUUUAGGAUCUGAAUCAUGUGCAAAAUUGGUCAGUUCUUGUCUUUUCAGACAGCAGAACAACUGCUUUGUAACUGUUCUGCUGUUUUGACAUUUAGUUUUUUUAGGGGAGUCUGACAAUGUAUCUACAGUGUAUCAAUUUUAGAAUUCAUUAGUUGGAGGAAAUAGUAUUGUAAGCACACCAUUGAGUGUAUUUUCAAGUGGGUCAAUCCAUUUAUUACAGCUGUGCGUGUGUGUGUGUGUGUGUGCGUGUGUGUGUUCAGUAGAACUUUGCAGUAUGUAGAUUUUUUUUCUCACUUUGACAAGUGAGGAAUGUGCUGCGUUUGUCUAUUAGAGGUGGAGAAAUUCAAGUUUGUCCUGUUGUUCCAGUUAGACGAAACCAGCUCUGUCAACUGUAAGGUAGUGACGUUGUGGUGAAUGUUGACUCGUUGUACAACUUCCGGUUGUAAAACGCUGGCUGAUAGUAAUUGGUCAGUUUAUGCUGUUCAGAUUUUGUCCUUCUGUAAUUAAUUUGUAAAACAUCCUGCUGACCACUGACAGUGUAUAGCAGGUUCCAGCAACCUUUUCGACUGAGAGAGCCAGAAUAGCAAAAUAUUUGGAAAUGCAUUUCCAAUAUAUAGACAGUCAUACCUUGGUUUUCGACCAAAAUCCGUUCCAGAAGGCUGUUCGAAAACCGAAACCACGCUCUUUAAAAAAAAAUCUUUAUUGAACACGUCUGCUCACAAUGGAACGCGACAUGAGGAAGCGUGAGGAAGCGUCACUUCCUCGUGUAAGGAAAGUGAGAGGAGUCAAGUGGGGCAUUCAAGUGCGCUCAGUUUGGUUGAGAACGGAUUUUCGGUCGUAAUUCGAGGCAUAAAAAUACUCAAAAUUUUUGGUCGAAAACCGAUUUGGUCGAGAACAGAGACGUUCGAAAACCGAGUUUUGACUGUAUAUAUAAAACUGCAUUUUAAAAGUGAAUUAAACAAAAUAAGAUAAGAUCCUUUAUUUGUCCCACACUGGGGAAAUUUACAGCCUCCAGCAGCAAGAAUAUAGGUAGAAAGAAGAAAAAAACAACAAACACAGUUCAAGUAAGUGCAAUAUAAAUACAAAAUGGAUAAAUCGCAGUGUUAUUUACAAUUGUCCCUCUGAAUGUAUUCUUUGAAAUCAUUGUGUUAUAAUACUCACCAUUAAUGUGAAUGGUUUUCCAUUCCUCACGAUUGCUAAAGAUACAAGCUAGCGGAAUUAUAGUCAGUUUGCCGAGUCCAUACGCGGAGUUGUGGCUAGCUUGCACCCUGUUCAGUAGCUUGCACUACUCCUUUCUUGCACUACUCCCGCAGGUUAUUUUGGUGCAAACGUAGCAUGGCACAUGUCUUAAGUGCCGCUUUACAUUCGACCGUUUCAUCGAUGAUAUUUUGUCAUUGCAAUUGCAUUGAACCCCGCAGAACAUGUUCUCUCCAGAUAGGCGAAUCCUGUGGUCCAUUCGUCCUGAAGUGAACCAUACGUCAUUUUUUUUUCUUUUCGCCAUCUUAUUCGUCGAAGGAUUAGCGUUGAGCUAAUGACAGAGCGGGCUGAUUCAAAAGGGGGUGUUUACCUGUUUACCCAGCAAUGGCCAACGUAGGCCAGUAUCAUCCAAUUAAAAUUGCUCCUGCAGCCCUGAACAGGACAUGAGCUGUGAAAAAU